RNAcentral lists this long non-coding RNA (780 nucleotides) under Homo sapiens (human). RNAcentral describes it as "HSALNT0159173". The record is from RNAcentral. Lineage: Eukaryota; Metazoa; Chordata; Mammalia; Primates; Hominidae.
AUAUAGAAAAAUGCCCUUCCCCAAUUUCCAAAUCGUGAAAAUUUGGCUCAGCAGGUGUACACUUAAAGCGUUCUGGGAAUAUGAAUCCCUUCUGCACCCUGGAAUCACCAGUCCAGCCAUGCAUGGAGCUGGGGAAAGCAGGCCCUGAAUUGUCUAGAGAGACUUGGUGGAGGAGGCCACGGCCCGCCUUGUCCCUGCCGGGUCCCGGCCAGGUGUGUGUGUGCCCCAGCUCGACUCUCGGUGGUCUCCAGGCUGCAGCAGAAGGAAUACCUUGGAACAACUGGAUGUUGUAAAUGUUUCUCAUCUGGCCUUAAAAUCCAUGAAAGCUGGAAAAUCACAAGGCAUCUGUGCAUAUACUGGUGGAUUUUAAUGAGAGUCCUGUGUUUGGAGCACCAGAAAUAAACCAGCUUCAGAAGCAAAGUUAACAGGAGGAGGAAGCAGAGCUAGAGAUGGAAGGAGACCCAGCCAGCCCGGGCUCCAGUGACAUCGGCUGGUACACGCUUUUGUUUGCUUACGCUUGUUGAACUGAGUUUUUCAUAUGUAACUAACGAAUACUGGCACAUGUAAGCCCGAGAAUUUGCAUUUCUGACAAGAUCCCAGGAUCUGAACGUCUAUGACACUCUUUCGAGCUGACACAGUGAAGAACAUAGAAGGAGAACUCACCCAGUCUGCCAGGGUCACAGAAUGAUCAUACUCAAGAUCUUCCUGGGGAGUCAAUGGCAAAUUUCACUGGGCUAUUUUACAGAUGAAGAAGGAACAUAAAGAAGGUUCUGGGACCCC